GCCACUCUAGAUUCCGUAACAAGUAGCAAUCAGCACUUCGUUGCAGACAAUUUUGUCUGUUCAAUGAUUAAAUAUUAAUAUAUCAUUUUGUUUAUUGAGUAAAUUUCAAAAUUACAUUAAUAACAAUAUAAUGGCUGGAAAAGUAAAUAAAGAAGCAGAGAACUUAAAAGGUCUUUCAAAAUAUUUUAAUAGUGUAACUCUACAGGGACGAGCAAAUGUAGCUAUGGCAACGUAUGCUGGUUUAGCCGUACUUGGAAUUUAUCUUUAUUUUAAACCAAAGAAAACUGCGACUAAAUAAGAAGAUGAAAG
Molecule: long non-coding RNA, 309 nt
Organism: Polistes dominula (European paper wasp)
Lineage: Eukaryota; Metazoa; Arthropoda; Insecta; Hymenoptera; Vespidae
Source: RefSeq, a predicted model, not a curated record